This 246-nucleotide ribosomal RNA is filed under the name uncultured bacterium. Its description in RNAcentral is "partial 16S ribosomal RNA". It matches the Rfam family "Bacterial small subunit ribosomal RNA", at positions 796 to 1041 of the family's 1533-position model. The record is from RNAcentral.
CACGCCGUAAACGAUGGGCACUAGGUGUGGGAGGUGUCGACUCCUUCCGUGCCGUAGCUAACGCAUUAAGUGCCCCGCCUGGGGAGUACGGCCGCAAGGCUAAAACUCAAAGGAAUUGACGGGGGCCCGCACAAGCAGCGGAGCAUGUGGUUUAAUUCGACGCAACGCGAAGAACCUUACCUAGGCUUGACAUGACCCUGAAAAAUCUGGAAACAGAUUCCCUUUUCGAAGCAGGGCCACAGGUGG